This 496-nucleotide ribosomal RNA is filed under the name uncultured bacterium. RNAcentral's name for it is "partial 16S ribosomal RNA". It matches the Rfam family "Bacterial small subunit ribosomal RNA", at positions 28 to 506 of the family's 1533-position model. The record is from RNAcentral.
GAUGAACGCUGGCGGCGUGCCUAAUACAUGCAAGUCGAGCGAACAGACGAGGAGCUUGCUCCUCUGACGUUAGCGGCGGACGGGUGAGUAACACGUGGAUAACCUACCUAUAAGACUGGGAUAACUUCGGGAAACCGGAGCUAAUACCGGAUAAUAUAUUGAACCGCAUGGUUCAAUAGUGAAAGACGGUUUUGCUGUCACUUAUAGAUGGAUCCGCGCCGCAUUAGCUAGUUGGUAAGGUAACGGCUUACCAAGGCAACGAUGCGUAGCCGACCUGAGAGGGUGAUCGGCCACACUGGAACUGAGCCACGGCCCAGACUCCUACGGGAGGCAGCAGUAGGGAAUCUUCCGCAAUGGGCGAAAGCCUGACGGAGCAACGCCGCGUGAGUGAUGAAGGUCUUCGGAUCGUAAAACUCUGUUAUUAGGGAAGAACAAAUGUGUAAGUAACUAUGCACGUCUGGACGGUACCUAAUCAGAAAGCCACGGCUAACUUCGU